Molecule: ribosomal RNA, 411 nt
Filed under: Rhodovulum sulfidophilum
Lineage: Bacteria; Pseudomonadati; Pseudomonadota; Alphaproteobacteria; Rhodobacterales; Paracoccaceae
Description: bacterial SSU rRNA
Rfam family: Bacterial small subunit ribosomal RNA
Source: RNAcentral
AACGCUGGCGGCAGGCCUAACACAUGCAAGUCGAGCGAACCCUUCGGGGUUAGCGGCGGACGGGUGAGUAACGCGUGGGAACGUGCCCUUCUCUGCGGAAUAGGCUCGGGAAACUGGGUUUAAUACCGCAUACGCCCUUCGGGGGAAAGAUUUAUCGGAGAAGGAUCGGCCCGCGUCUGAUUAGGUAGUUGGUGGGGUAAUGGCCUACCAAGCCUACGAUCAGUAGCUGGUUUGAGAGGAUGAUCAGCCACACUGGGACUGAGACACGGCCCAGACUCCUACGGGAGGCAGCAGUGAGGAAUCUUGGACAAUGGGGGAAACCCUGAUCCAGCCAUGCCGCGUGAGCGAUGAAGGCCUUAGGGUUGUAAAGCUCUUUCAGUCGGAAGAUAAGACGGAGGCGAAGAAGCCGGC